Molecule: ribosomal RNA, 1340 nt
Filed under: metagenome
Description: bacterial LSU rRNA
Rfam family: Bacterial large subunit ribosomal RNA
Source: RNAcentral
UGAAUACGAAAUGCUACGGCAUUGAAGUGAUCUAUGCCAUGCUUCCAAGAAAAUCUCGUCAUAUCUUAAAUAAUAAAUGCCUGUACCUUAAACCGACACAGGUAGGUAGGUAGAGUAUACCAAGGGGCGCGAGAUAACUCUCUCUAAGGAACUCGGCAAAAUAACCUCGUAACUUCGGAAGAAGAGGUACCCUUGAAAAAGGGUUGCAAUAACCAGACCCUGGCGACUGUUUACCAAAAACACAGGUCUCCGCUAAUUCGCAAGAUCAAGUAUGGAGGCUGACGCCUGCCCAGUGCCGGAAGGUUAAAGAAGUUGGUCAAUCUUCGGAUGAAGCUGGCGACUGAAGCCCCGGUGAACGGCGGCCGUAACAAUAACGGUCCUAAGGUAGCGAAGUUCCUUGUCGGGUAAGUUCCGACCCGCACGAAAGGCGUAACGAUCAGGGUGCUGUCUCGGAGAGAGACUCGGCGAAAUAGACAUGUCUGUGAAGAUGCGGACUACCUGCACCUGGACAGAAAGACCCUAUGAAGCUUUACUGUAUCUUGGAAUUGGGUUUGGGCCUUGUUUGCGCAGGAUAGGUGUAGGCUGUGAAAAUAUUCUCGUGGGAAUAUUGGAGCCAACGGUGAGAUACCACUCUAGCAAGGCUAAAAUUCUAACUCUGAACCGUUAUCCGGUCAGAGAACAGUUUCAGGUGGGCAGUUUGACUGGGGCGGUCGCCUCCUAAAAGGUAACGGAGUCGCGCAAAGGUUCCCUCAGGCUGGUUGGACAUCAGUCGUAGAGUGUAAAGGCAUAAGGGAGCUUGACUGCGAGACCCACAAGUCGAGCAGAGACGAAAGUCGGCCUUAGUGAUCCGACGGUUCCACGUGGAAGGGCCGUCGCUCAACGGAUAAAAGUUACUCUAGGAUAACAGGCUGAUCUCCCCCAAGAGUUCACAUCGACGGGGAGGUUUGGCACCUCGAUGUCGGCUCAUCGCAUCCUGGGGCGGUAGUACGUCCCAAGGGUUGGGCUGUUCGCCCAUGAAAGCGGUACGCGAGCUGGGUUCAGAACGUCGUGAGACAGUUCGGUCCAUAUCCGGUGCAGGCGUUAGAGCAUUGAAAGGAGUCCCCCUUAGUACGAGAGGACCGGGGGGAAUACACCGCUGGUGUACCAGUUAUCGUGCCAACGGUAAACGCUGGGUAGCCAUGUGUAGCGUGGAUAACUGCUGAAAGCAUCUAAGUAGGAAGCCCACCUUAAGAUGAGUGCUCUCACCGCUAUAAGCGGGUAAGGUCACGGUAAGAACAACCGUUAUAUAGGCAUUAAGUAUACAUGCAGUAAUGCAUUUAGCUGAGAUGUACUAACAGACC